RNAcentral lists this small nuclear RNA (327 nucleotides) under Erinaceus europaeus (western European hedgehog). RNAcentral describes it as "7SK RNA". It matches the Rfam family "7SK RNA". From Rfam's summary of the family: 7SK was discovered as an abundant small nuclear RNA in the mid-70s but a possible function has only recently been suggested. Two independent studies have found that 7SK RNA binds the CDK9/cyclin T complex (known as elongation factor P-TEFb). Lineage: Eukaryota; Metazoa; Chordata; Mammalia; Eulipotyphla; Erinaceidae. The record is from Rfam by way of RNAcentral.
GGAUGUGAGGGUGAUCUGGCUGCGACAUCUGUUAUCCCAUUGAUUGCCAGGGUUGAUUCGGCUGAUACGACUGGUUAGGCAGGUGUCCCCUUCCUCCCUCACUGCUCCAUGUUUGUCCAUCCAAAAACUAUGCUUUCGAUCAAAGAGGACAGCCUUCCCUGAAUAGAUAUGGACCAUUCUUCCAUAAAGGGUAUAUGAGUAGCUACACUUCCUGCUAGAACCUCCAAACCAGUAAUGUCAAAGGACAUAAAUUAUGGUGGUGCUGUGUAUGAUAUAGCAAAUCCUAACAAAGGAAUUUUCAAAGUUAACCCAAUUGCUAAAUAAUUU